AACCAAAGCUGGCGACCGGCGCACGGGUGAGUAACACGUAUCAACCUGCCUCAUACUCGGGGAUAGCCUUUCGAAAGAAAGAUUAAUAUCCGAUAGCAUAUAUUUCCCGCAUGGGUUUUAUAUUAAAGAAAUUCGGUAUGAGAUGGGGAUGCGUUCCAUUAGUUUGUUGGGGGGGUAACGGCCCACCAAGACUACGAUGGAUAGGGGUUCUGAGAGGAAGGUCCCCCACAUUGGAACUGAGACACGGUCCAA
This 252-nucleotide ribosomal RNA is filed under the name uncultured bacterium. Its description in RNAcentral is "partial 16S ribosomal RNA". It matches the Rfam family "Bacterial small subunit ribosomal RNA", at positions 80 to 334 of the family's 1533-position model. The record is from RNAcentral.